Molecule: long non-coding RNA, 437 nt
Organism: Xyrauchen texanus (razorback sucker)
Lineage: Eukaryota; Metazoa; Chordata; Actinopteri; Cypriniformes; Catostomidae
Exons: 3
Source: RefSeq, a predicted model, not a curated record
UGAGAACAUUUGUUUACGCUGCACCUGAACAACUUGAGGGUUCUAACUAUGAUUCAAUGAACUGAGGAAGGGCCAGGUCCCUAAUACGCUCUGCAAAAACUGUCCAGUUUGGGCCAAGUAUAUCAGACUGCUGACCAGCUCUGAUCCUUCAAUGCAACCAAGUGCAUGCCAGAGUGCAGAGUGAUGCUACAGAGUGAUGUCUUUAGCACCAAUGACAUGGUUAUCUACAGUUUAAAGCGCAAGAUUGAUGAGCACGAAGAAGAACUUGUUCAGCUCAAGAGAAAGAUCAGUAAGCUGUAGAUCUCUAAAAUUGCUAAACAAAGUCCAGAAAAGACAUUAUAAUACUGGAUCUUUUGUACCCCCAAAUACUUGUACAUUAUGUUAGUUGUUGUUUGGUAAUGGUUGCAUGUGUCAGCGCAGCUCUGCUUGUAUGUAAA